GGUUGUGGGCCUGAUCUUGCUCCUUAUAUCUCCCUACACUCCAGCAAAAAAAUAACCUGAAUAAGUGUUGCUGAUAUAUAUGCUGGGCAUUGUUGGUUGUUAGGUUUGAUUUCCAAAUGAUUGUCCACUGUGAUCUCAGCCAAAGGUAACUAGCUCCUAAUCCUUUAAGUUUUUCCACUGAGCAUGGAAUCAUAGAUCUGUUUUCCACUCUUCAAGUUUACUCAGGAUUUGAGGAUGUCAUGUUCUGGUGCCUAAUAUCUUAUUCAGUUGCUUGUAGUUUUCAACUUUCUAUUGGAAUAUUUCUAGUACACAUAAGCUGAUGUUUGUUGUUUAGUGUGCUGGGUUGGAGGGAACAGAAAGGAGGGAGGGAAUUGUUUUAUCCUAAUUUGGUUUAAAAAUUUAGGGGUGAUAAGCAAACUAAUUUGUCUUCCCUCUAAUAUUGGGAGGAUUUUAAGAGUUAGGAAAGUGAUUUAAAUUGUUGGACUGUGCAAAUUAAAUUGCCUUUAUGACAUUGGUUGCCAUAUGCACAUUGUCUACCAUCGACAGGCAAUAAAGGAAAUCAUUAAGCUAAACUUCUCUUGUGCUACAAACUAUUAAAUCUUAUGCAUUUAUAUAAAUUGUCAUUAACAAGUUCUUUUACAUGUUUGCUGACUAAUGACUUCUUAAAUUUCCCAUCAGAUUUACGAUCAUACCACCAAAUCAUGAAUUCUAUUUCUUAUUCAGUCAGCCAGUCCUAUUGUUGUAAG
RNAcentral lists this long non-coding RNA (746 nucleotides) under Vigna radiata. Its description in RNAcentral is "long non-coding RNA (VRAD_LNC017769)". Lineage: Eukaryota; Viridiplantae; Streptophyta; Magnoliopsida; Fabales; Fabaceae. The record is from RNAcentral.